GCUAUUGGCCGAAGGGUUGUGAGUAGGUUGGGCAUCGAGAACCGAUUCCUACAUGGAUUACGAUUCCAGUAGAAUCGUUUCUUUAUUGGAAUCUUUUGGAGGAUUUGGGUUUAAAUUCCAAUCAUUUCUUCCCAAUUUA
Long non-coding RNA from Etheostoma spectabile (orangethroat darter), 139 nucleotides. RefSeq lists it as uncharacterized. The record is from RefSeq and is a predicted model, not a curated record. NCBI's taxonomy places the organism in Eukaryota, Metazoa, Chordata, Actinopteri, Perciformes, Percidae. The transcript has 3 exons.